This 323-nucleotide unclassified non-coding RNA is filed under the name Hevea brasiliensis (rubber tree). The record is from RNAcentral. Lineage: Eukaryota; Viridiplantae; Streptophyta; Magnoliopsida; Malpighiales; Euphorbiaceae.
GUGGCAUAUAAUAUGUCAUGACCAGCAUCAGCUAACCAAGUUACACCAUGUCAAGAAUUAGAUUAGAUGUUCAAUAUGAGAGAACGUUGCUGAGCUAAUCAAAAUUUAGAAAUAAAUACAAAUAGGAGAGUAUAUACAUUGUGUUGAUGAACUGUGACCAGUCCGAUGUGAUGGCAAAGAUGAUGUCAGGACAAAAUGCUGGAAUUGUAACUAUGAAAACAAACAGAGAUCUGUAUUGUAUUUGUUUUGUAGUGUUAAAAACAAGUAUUGGCAUACCUCCAGGAAUAGAUCACCAAAAGAAAUUCUAUCCCCAGGUUCAAUCA